UAAUACGGGGGGAGCAAGCGUUGUCCGGAUUUACUGGGCGUAAAGAGCGCGUAGGUGGGUCUGUAAGUCAAACGUGAAAGCCCCGAGCCCAACUCGGGAUCCGCAUUUGAAACUGCAGACCUUGAGUACAAAAGAGGAAGGCGGAAUUCCCGGUGUAGCGGUGGAAUGCGUAGAUAACGGGAAGAACACCGGUGGCGAAGGCGGCCUUCUGGUUUGAUACUGACACUGAGGCGCGAAAGCGUGGGGAGCAAACAGGAUUAGAUACCCUGGUAGUCCACGCUGUAAACGAUGGGCACUGGGUGUUGGUCCGUUAGGAUCAGUGCCGCAGCUAACGCGUUAAGUGCCCCGCCUGGGGAGUACGACCGCAAGGUUG
RNAcentral lists this ribosomal RNA (373 nucleotides) under uncultured bacterium. RNAcentral's name for it is "bacterial SSU rRNA". It matches the Rfam family "Bacterial small subunit ribosomal RNA", at positions 521 to 896 of the family's 1533-position model. The record is from RNAcentral.